GGAGUUCAGGACUGGGACACUCCUCUGCCUGAUGACAAGGUGAGCAGAUGGGAAGAGUGGAAAGCCUCACUUGAGAAGCUGAGUAACCUCCAUGUCCCUCGCUGUUAUGUAAAGAUGUCACUCUCAAAAGCCAAAUACACAGAACUGUGCCUUUUUUCUGAUGCCUCGAACUGGGCUAUAGGGGCAGUAGCCUACUUGAGGGCUGUCACUGAAGAGGGCCGUUGUGAGGUCGGAUUUGUGCUGGGAAAGGCUAAGCUGUCACCACAGCCUGAACCCACAAUUCCACGCCUCGAGCUCUGUGGAGCUGUUCUGGCGACUGAGAUGGCAGAGCUGAUUUUAGACGAACUGGACUUCAAGCCAGACGCUGUUAAAUUCUACUGCGACAGCAAAGUGGUCCUCGGAUACAUCUGUAAUGAUUCAAAGCGCUUCUAUGUGUACGUGCACAAUCGCGUGCAUCGUAUACGCCAGACAACGUCCCCAGAUCAGUGGCAUUACGUACCUUCAGCACAGAACCCAGCGGACUUAGCCACCAGAUCUGUAGCAGCAUCACAGCUCAUGGACACGAUGUGGUUUAAAGGGCCCGACUUCCUCUACAAGCCUCCGGAGAUGGAGAAACGUGAGCACUUCGAGCUGAUAGAUCCUGAAACAGAUGUGGAAGUUAGACCACAAGUGACUGCUCUAGCUACCCACCUUGAAACUAAGAGACUUACCUCUGAGAGAUUCCAGCGCUUUUCCACAUGGAAGUCUCUGCUGAGAGCCGUUUCCUACUUGAAACAUCAGGUGCGUUCGCACAAACCAGACACAACAGAUACACCACAGCACACAUGCAAAGGCUGGCAUCAGUGCAGUGGGCCUCGCACUCCUGAGGAGCGCGCAGCAGCGAAGAUGCUCAUACUAGAGACUGUUCAGAGAGAUGCAUAUCCAGAUGAAUACGCUGCUCUUCAGGCAAACAUAGAAGUCUCUAGCUCGAGUCAGCUCUUGACCCUUGACCCCUACAUGAGUGAUGGUCUGCUGCGGGUCGGAGGCCGUCUCAGACAUGCUUCUCUUGACACUGAGGUAAAACACCCAAUCAUCCUCCCUAAGCAUAACCAUGUAACCAAGCUGCUUGUAGAACACUAUCAUGCUGAAGUGAAACACCAGGGGCGGCAGUUCACAGAAGGGGCUAUCAGAGCAGCUGGACUGUGGAUUGUCGGUGGCAAGAGACUGGUGAGUUCUACACUUCAUCAUUGUGUGACAUGCCGUAAGCUCAGAGGGAAGCUGGAAGUACAGAAAAUGGCUGACCUCCCUCCAGAGCGGCUCGACACCCCCCACCCUUCACAUACGUAGGGCUGGACGUAUUUGGACCGUGGGCAGUGAUGACCCGACGCACUCGAGGAGGUGCAGCGCAGAGCAAAAGGUGGGCCAUUCUGUUCACGUGCAUGAACACCAGGGGGGUACACAUUGAAGUUAUAGAAUCAAUGGAUGCCACAAGCUGUAUUAAUGCAUUGCGAAGAUUCUUUGCCAUCAGAGGCCCGGCAAAGCAGCUCAGAUCAGACAGAGGGACGAACUUCAUAGCCGCCAGUGCAGAGCUGGGCAUGGACCGUCCUGAGGAAAAGCAGACUGAAAUUCUGAGUUAUCUCCAUAGUAAAGACUGCACAUGGGAGUUCAAUCCACCACACGCCUCCCACAUGGGGGGAGUGUGGGAGCGUAUGAUUGGGGUCACACGCAGAAUUCUAGACUCUAUGCUUUUGCAAAACAAGCAUACUCACCUGACGCACGAGGUACUGUGUACUUUGAUGGCGGAGAUAUCAGCAAUCAUCAACGCACGGCCGCUGAUUCCCAUUUCAUCAGACCCCUCCUCUCCCAUUCUGCUGUCCCCUGCUAUGCUCCUGACCCAAAAGCCAGGCCUACACGCUCCACCUGGAGACUUCACCAGCAAGGAUCUCCUGAAAGGUCAGUGGAAACAAGUACAAGCGCUGGCGAAUGAGUUUUGGGGCCGUUGGAGAACUGAGUACUUGAGUACUCUCCACUCAAGACGCAAGUGGCACAGAGCUCAGCGCAACCUACAACCUGGAGACAUUGUGCUGCUGAAACAGGCUCAAGCACCAAGGAACGAGUGGCCAAUGGCUUUGGUCACAUCGGCCUCUCCGAGCAGCGAUGGACGAGUCCGCAAAGUCGAGGUGCAGACGGCAUCUCAGGGCACUUCAAAGACUUACCUGCGGCCCAUCUCGGACGUCAUCCUUCUUCUUGAAAGAGACUAAAAAGGCACAAACUGAAAAAAAGGGGUUUAAAGUAAAUGUGUGUUGAAUAAAGAAAAGUUGAGUUGAGUAGUGGCAUUAGUUAUGCCAGACGGGGAGUGUUCUGUCCUCAGGUUAAAAGUAAAAGAAAAGGAAAUAUGUAUUCAAAUUGUUUUUGGUACAAAUGAUUCUUUGAUAACAUUCUGUUAAUGGCAAAAGAAAAGAGAUGAGUAUUUUGUACUGUAAAGGUGAGCCUUUAUUUUGGCAUGAGUUUUUGUUUACAUCUGAGCGAUCCCAUGAGCCUCCGGUCCAUGAUGAACUUACCAGAACGUAAGAUGCACGUUAGUUGCUGUUUGUAAUGAGUUCCAGUCGGAUGUUUCUUUCCCGAGUCUUGUUUCGCUCACACACCCAUGGCAGCAAUGUCUGUAAGUUAUAAUGAUAUGCAUUUUGUACUUGUAUGAAGUUAAGCUUUAUGAGCAUAGUUGGUAACGUUUACUCGAAUGUGUAUUAGUGACCACGUUACUUUGCUAACGUUCGUUUCCUUGCUAAUAAGCUAAGCGAUACUUGCUAGUCACUUUAGUUAUAGGCUAACUUGACUGUUGCUUGUGUAAUACGGUAAUGUCAGGCUCCUAAGUUUCGUCUGUAUUUUGUUUAUUUCAGUUUUACACGAUUUUCACCUGCUAUACUGGAAAAUAAAGGAGCAAGGCGCUCGCUUCCUGGCUCGUAGAAAACGAGUUUGGCUUGCUGUGGAGUCUGUGUUCACGCACGUAGCUUACACACAGAUAGGAACAGUACAG
Non-coding RNA from Xyrichtys novacula (pearly razorfish), 3013 nucleotides. NCBI's taxonomy places the organism in Eukaryota, Metazoa, Chordata, Actinopteri, Labriformes, Labridae. The record is from the annotation of a GenBank genome assembly.